GACGAACGCUGGCGGCGUGCUUAACACAUGCACGUCGAACGGAAAGGCCCUGCUGGGGUGGGGUGCUCGAGUAGCGAACGAGUGAGUAACACGUGAGUAACCUUCGCUUUACUUUGGAAUAACGUCAAGAAACUGGGGCUAAUACCGGAUAUGAGCGCCUGCUGCAUGGGGGGGGUUAGAAAGUUUCGGGGGGUAGGGAAUGACGCGCGGUUUAUCAGCUUGUUGGGUGGGGAGUUGCCUAGCAAGGGGUUGGCGGGUAGCCGGACCGGGAGGGUGGCCGGGCCACAUUGGACUGGAGAUCCGGCCAGGACUCCUACGGGAGGAAGAAGUGGGGAAUAUUGAAAAAUGGGCGGAGGCCUAAUCAAGCAACGCGGGGUGCGGGAUGCCGGCCUUCGGGUUGUAACCCGCUUUCGCCUGUGACGAAGCGUGAGUGACGGUAAUGGGUAAAGAAGCACCGGCUAACUACGUG
This 469-nucleotide ribosomal RNA is filed under the name uncultured bacterium. RNAcentral describes it as "partial 16S ribosomal RNA". It matches the Rfam family "Bacterial small subunit ribosomal RNA", at positions 28 to 507 of the family's 1533-position model. The record is from RNAcentral.